AUAAGAAAAUGCCUGCAGCCCCUUGCACUCGCGGAGUCAUCUACGCAAGGUCGGGCUCUGCAGGCAGCAGCUUCUGGUCUCACCCCGGGCUUGUGCGCACACCUGGGGACAUGUGGGAAGGGCGCUCUUGCGGCCACUGAGCGGCCUGGCCUCAGGGAACGAGCCCCGCGCCGGGAAGAAAGCUGCCUGCCGGGAGCGCAGCCUACUGGGGACCCGGGACCCGAGCCACCGCGGCUCACCAAGAGGCGGUGGGGCCCUGCGGUGCGUGUGGGACGCCCGGCAGGCAGACUCUGAGCACGGCCAGGAGGCAAGAAGAGAUUGAAGGGAAAUCUCAAGGGGCUCCAGAGACUACUACGAUGGUGCAAAGUCACAGAAGCCCUGGGAAAAGCAGGUAGAAUGGAGUUGCCAUGACAUUGAGCCUCAUCUAGAUGCCAGUUCCAGAUAUUGGCAGACUGCUGGCCUCCUGAGGAGCACAGGAAGGGGCCUGGCAGACUGGUGAUCCUGGUUGGAGAUGAAGAGGGGCUGAUUAA
This 530-nucleotide long non-coding RNA is filed under the name Pan troglodytes (chimpanzee). Its description in RNAcentral is "lincRNA". The record is from RNAcentral. Lineage: Eukaryota; Metazoa; Chordata; Mammalia; Primates; Hominidae.